Molecule: long non-coding RNA, 1147 nt
Filed under: Apteryx rowi (Okarito brown kiwi)
Lineage: Eukaryota; Metazoa; Chordata; Aves; Apterygiformes; Apterygidae
Description: lncRNA (ENSARWG00000017056.1)
Source: RNAcentral
CCGCUUAAAGCCAGGAACGGCGCGGCGGAGUCGCGGGAAGGGACUGACGGAGGGAGGUUAAUUAUAACAGAGAGAGUCGCUAUUUAUUUUUUGUAGUAGUGUCGUACGAAUGUACCGUGGUUUGAAAACGGUUGUUGCCUUUUUAUAUUAUUUAUGCCUUGAAAUUCCGUCCUUAUUUUUUUUUUCCCUCCUCCCCGUGCACCACGGAAUGUGUUUUUUUUAUUUUAAAAAAAGGAGCAAUAAUAUAAAGAACGAUGGGAACUACGUAGCGUGGUUUCCGUGGGGUGUCGCCGGCGUGAGGAGCGAGGCGGAAGCGGCUAAUGCGCGGAUGGAGCCGAGCAAAUCCCAGCGGAGCGGACCGCCGUGGCAGUGUUUCCGGUGGGAGCACCGAAGGAUGAAACCCGCCUCCCGCGGGAUGCGGGAGCGAUCCGGGGCGCUCAGGACCGUUUCCUUGGCUUCUCCCGGCACCGUUUGUAGAACCGGAGUGGCAAAUUUGCUUAAAACCACCUUUCUCGCUCGCGCUUUCGCCCCCCUCGUCCCCCGGCUGCACCGACGGGGACGAGCGGGAGGCGCUGCUGAAAGAGCUGUUUGCCGGGCCGAGGGAAUAGGAGCCGCUGGAAUACCUGCCGUUGCCUCCGGAGCUGAAGGAGCCCUUGGGAAAGCGCUCCAGGCUCGACGCAACCCGCCAGCCUGGCAGGAACAGCGCUCGCCGCGCGAUGGAGCUACGGGCAGGAGCGGCGCCGGCGGUGGGGAAGGGAGGAAGCGGAGCCGGCCUGGCCUCUCCGAGAGAUCCCGGGACCUUCGGAGAAAAACCGCUUUGCCGGCGGGCCGGCGCGGCACCGUAUAUACAGCGAAAAAAAGGAAAAAAACCUCCGUGCUCCUCUGCAAACGCCGCUCGGCCGCGGCGCCCAGCCCCUCGCUUUGCACCGUUCCCCGCGAGCAGUGACCUCAACGCGCCGCGGUGGGCGUAGCGGACGGAAGCCCGUGCUGCCUUUUCCCCGGAAGCCGUCAAUAUUCCUUGGGAAAUGGGGUGUACGCGGCCCUCGCCCUCCGCCGCUUCCCGGCCCGUGACUUCAUUCCGGCCCGAAUACAGGUGACAACUGCCCCGAAUGCAACGGGAAAUAAAUAUUUAUUUAAGCUUUGGGAA